RNAcentral lists this ribosomal RNA (435 nucleotides) under uncultured bacterium. RNAcentral's name for it is "partial 16S ribosomal RNA". It matches the Rfam family "Bacterial small subunit ribosomal RNA", at positions 29 to 507 of the family's 1533-position model. The record is from RNAcentral.
AGCGAACGCUGGCGGCAGGCUUAACACAUGCAAGUCGAGCGGGCACUUUCGGGUGUCAGCGGCGGACGGGUGAGUAACGCGUGGGAACGUGCCCUCUGGUUCGGAAUAACUCAGGGAAACUUGAGCUAAUACCGGAUACGCCCUUUUGGGGAAAGGCUUGCUGCCGGAGGAUCGGCCCGCGUCUGAUUAGCUAGUUGGUGAGGUGACGGCUCACCAAGGCGACGAUCAGUAGCUGGUCUGAGAGGAUGAUCAGCCACACUGGGACUGAGACACGGCCCAGACUCCUACGGGAGGCAGCAGUGGGGAAUAUUGGACAAUGGGCGCAAGCCUGAUCCAGCCAUGCCGCGUGAGUGAUGAAGGCCUUAGGGUUGUAAAGCUCUUUUAUCCGGGACGAUAAUGACGGUACCGGAGGAAUAAGCCCCGGCUAACUUCGUG